This is a long non-coding RNA of Octopus bimaculoides (California two-spot octopus), 824 nucleotides long. NCBI's taxonomy places the organism in Eukaryota, Metazoa, Mollusca, Cephalopoda, Octopoda, Octopodidae. The record is from RefSeq and is a predicted model, not a curated record.
UUAGGCCUUUGGCAACAGAUGUACUGAAUUGGUGGGUCUCCCAUUCAUUAUGUUUUUUUAGUGGUUUUGUUGUACCGGUCUAAGAUAUGUCGGAGUCUAUUUCUAGCUAAGGAAAUUUUUGCUUCAGCGAAUUAAGAACAGGGAAUUAGUGUGUCUCCCUAUGGGCAAAUCUGGCAGACUGUCAAUGGACUGCCCACGGAAUAAUGUGUAGACCAUGCAACAAAUCUGUGGUGUGAUACAUACCCCCUUGUUGAAGGAAAAAUGCUUUUAGAAAAAUGUUACAGAAGUCUGAAGUUAGAUUAUUUUUACCCAAUCAGGAAACAGGAUUUGGAAGCUGGCAUUUUGCGUGAGAUGACGGAACAUUCAACAAUGGAAGUUUUGAUGAGUAGUCACGUGAAAUGUCGGAACAGCACACGAUCUCAGAUCAGGUCACUUGCUAUGCAAGUACAUCUCCGUAAUAUAUAUAUAUAUAUAUAUAUAUAUAUAUAUAUUCACACACCUCGUACUACGGACCUCCCGUCAACGGAUUUCGGAAGUAGCGGACAAAAUCACACCCUUCACCAUCCAUGGCACAAGGACACCAAUUUUGAGGAAGAGGGGAAACGUCGAUGGUACUUUAUUUUAUCUAUCCAGACGGAACGAAUGGCAAGUCCACCUUGGCAAAAAUCUUGAAACAUUUCAGGACAAAAGACAAAACAAAACAAAUUUCCAUCCGUGUUAAUUCAAAUGUCAAUUAAUAAAUUAACUGAAUGAAAAAAAAAAAAAAAAAUUGUAAAUAAUUGCAUAAAAAUGAAACGGAACAAUCAAUUUGGUUUACCUGUUUU